ACCUUAUCCGUUGUAGCCAAAGU
RNAcentral lists this microRNA (23 nucleotides) under Caenorhabditis elegans. Its description in RNAcentral is "cel-miR-791-5p". Its record names the gene cel-miR-791-5p. Lineage: Eukaryota; Metazoa; Nematoda; Chromadorea; Rhabditida; Rhabditidae. The record is from miRBase by way of RNAcentral.